This 939-nucleotide long non-coding RNA is filed under the name Heterocephalus glaber (naked mole-rat). Its description in RNAcentral is "lncRNA (ENSHGLG00100039930.1)". Lineage: Eukaryota; Metazoa; Chordata; Mammalia; Rodentia; Bathyergidae. The record is from RNAcentral.
AGAGUGGACCUUAUACACAGAAGAACAGCAUUAGAAGUCACUACUACAGGAUAUAGGGAACCAGCUGAGAAAAUCGAAGCACAGAGAAGUUAACCAGUCCGUUAUCACUGCACCUGGGUGGCACUGUUGGAAUAAGCACAAGUAAUCAUCACUCUCCCAGCCAGGAUUCAUAACCAGCAGAACAGGCUGCGUAUCUUCAAGAGGAACUCAUGAGGGCUAGGUUGGAUGCAGUCAUCAGCGGUAAUGCAUGGAUUUGGUCACCAUCCCUGGAAGUGACUCACCUGAGCCCUUGAUAGAGGACUGAUUCACUAUUUCUCAAUGGAAUGCCCAAAGGUCAAAGUUCUACCUGGCCUGUGUUGAAGGUACUGUAACAACAUGGCUCAAGGACACCACAACUUCCUGAACACCCUUAGCAACAGGAAGACCACUGGCCGGCCACAGGAUGCUUGAGUGCAGAGAGAGCCAGGAUACAAAGGAAGUCUAAUCCUGAUAAGGACAGCGAAUUGCUCACUGAGAGAAGGUGCUUAAGACAACGAAGCAACUUGGAGCGUCUUUUCACAGGAAGAGAUGAGUCGUCAGCGAAUUGCGAAUUGCGAUCAGAGCCACGUCCAUCAGCUUCUGGAUCUUCUGCACCAUUACGAGUUAAGUGUUCGCUGACCGCCUGGGGGUCCUUCUGCCUCUGCUCCAGGAGGAGUCGCAUGGCUGGGUCACUCAUUACCUGCUGCACGCCGGGGUCAGCCACGGCCCGUCGCUUCACAUCCUCAGGGCUGUCGUGUGUGUUGUACUGAGCCAUCAUACAGCGCUCGUAUCCAGCUGCAGCCUCCUUACAGCUGGAAUCCAGGUCCAGUGCUUUCUGGUACACAUCCAUGGCCUUUGCGUAGUCCUUCAUGGCUUCCAGGGCAGCGGCUUUCCGGGUAUAACCCUUGAUGAAGGUCGGCU